This 253-nucleotide ribosomal RNA is filed under the name uncultured bacterium. Its description in RNAcentral is "partial 16S ribosomal RNA". It matches the Rfam family "Bacterial small subunit ribosomal RNA", at positions 524 to 776 of the family's 1533-position model. The record is from RNAcentral.
UACGUAGGGGGCUAGCGUUGUCUGGAAUCAUUGGGCGUAAAGCGCGCGUAGGCGGCCCGGUAAGUCCGCUGUGAAAGUCCAGGGCUCAACCCUGGAAAGCCGGUGGAUACUGCCGGGCUAGAGUCCGGAAGAGGCGAGUGGAAUUCCUGGUGUAGCGGUGGAAUGCGCAGAUAUCAGGAGGAACACCAAUGGCGAAGGCAGCUCGCUGGGACGGUACUGACGCUGAGGCGCGAAAGCGUGGGGAGCGAACAGG